UUCCCAGUAAUGUCCACUUACAAG
Drosophila melanogaster (fruit fly) is the source of this 24-nucleotide non-coding RNA. The record is from Ensembl. Lineage: Eukaryota; Metazoa; Arthropoda; Insecta; Diptera; Drosophilidae.